AAGGGUUUAUUUGCUUUACAGUAGUAGAAACUUGAACAUCUUUAAAUGCUGAUUGACAACUCAACAAUAAAAAGAUAAUUUGGAAAUGGGCAAGGAUAUGAAUAGACAUUUCUCCCAAGAAGAUGUACAGAUAGAUGGCCAAUAAGCAUCUAAAACAAUGCGCAACAUCAUUAGCCAUCAGUGAGAUGCAAAUCAAAACUACGAAAGGAAACUACUUUACCUCCACUAGGAUGACUAAUCAACAAGACAGACAAUGAAAAGUGUUGGCAAGGAUGGGGAGAAAUUGGAACCCUCAUACAUUACUGGUAGGAAUGUAAAAUGAUGUAGUCAUUCAAAGAAAAAAAAAGUCCAUCUGUCUUCAGAAGUUUAAAACAAGUUACAAAUGACCCAGCAAUUCCACUGCUAGUUAUAUACACAGGAAAAAUAAAAACAUAUGUUCACACAAAAAUUUGUACACAUACUCAUAACCAUAUUAUUAAUGGUUAUGAAUCAAAAAGUGGAAACAAUUUGAAUGUCCAUCAACUGGUGACAUAUUAUGUAUUGCAAAUAAGAUAGAUUAGUGGACUUAAACAACAAAUAUUCCCCUUGAUGCUAUAGGCUGGAAAGUCCAAGAUCAAGUUUCCUGCAGAUUUGGUGUCUGGUGCAGACCUUUUGCUGGCUUGCAGAUUUUUACCUGCUCCCUGUUUCUUAACAUGAUUAAGAGACAAAACUUAGGUGUCUCUUUCUCUUCUUGUAAGGGCACUAAUUCCAUCAGGGGCUCCAUCCGUGGAAAACAUAAUCAACUCCCAAAGACCCUAAUGCCAUCACAUUGGGGAUCAGGACUUUAGCGUACAAAUUUAGUAAUGACACAGGAGAACAGAUGUCACUAGAAAAGGAUCUGAGGAGUUCCCAGAGAAAGAGGGGAACUCACCUCAGGACCAACUGGGUUCCUGGCAUACUUGAAUUUCAGCAUGAGCCAAACAAAGACAUAGACAGAGGUUUAUUUAGGAAAGUAGAUACACAUUCAAGAGAGAAUGUGGGCUAUCUUGAGAAUGAGAAGCAGCCUGCCUUAGGCUGGG
RNAcentral lists this long non-coding RNA (1058 nucleotides) under Marmota monax (woodchuck). Lineage: Eukaryota; Metazoa; Chordata; Mammalia; Rodentia; Sciuridae. The record is from RNAcentral.